CCUACGGGAGGCAGCAGUGAGGAAUAUUGGUCAAUGGGCGGAAGCCUGAACCAGCCAAGUAGCGUGCAGGAUGACGGCCCUACGGGUUGUACACUGCUUUUAUACGGGAAUAACGCGCCUUUCGUGUAGGGCUUUGCAUGUACCGUAUGAAUAAGGAGCGGCAAACUCCGUGCCAGCAGCCGCGGUAAUACGGAGGAUGAGUGGGUUCUCCGGUUUUGUUGGGUUUAAAGGGUGCGUAGGCGGUCUGUUAAGUCCGCGGUAACAGCCGGGGGAUCAACCCCGGCCCGCAGUUGAGACUGGCAGUCUCGAGUGAGAGAGAAGUAUGCGGAAUGCGCGGUGUAGCGGUGAAAUGCAUAGAUAUCGCGCAGAACUCCGAUUGCGAAGGCAGCAUGCCGGCUCCACACUGACGCUGAGGCACGAAAGCGUGGGUAUCGAACAGGAUUAGAUACCCUAGUAGUC
RNAcentral lists this ribosomal RNA (459 nucleotides) under uncultured bacterium. RNAcentral describes it as "partial 16S ribosomal RNA". It matches the Rfam family "Bacterial small subunit ribosomal RNA", at positions 338 to 795 of the family's 1533-position model. The record is from RNAcentral.